This 497-nucleotide ribosomal RNA is filed under the name uncultured bacterium. Its description in RNAcentral is "partial 16S ribosomal RNA". It matches the Rfam family "Bacterial small subunit ribosomal RNA", at positions 28 to 507 of the family's 1533-position model. The record is from RNAcentral.
GACGAACGCUGGCGGCGUGCCUAAUACAUGCAAGUUGAGCGAUGAAGAUUGGUGCUUGCCCCAAUUUGAAGAGCAGCGAACGGGUGAGUAACGCGUGGGGAAUCUGCCUUUGAGCGGGGGACAACAUUUGGAAACGAAUGCUAAUACCGCAUAACAACUUUAAACAUAAGUUUUAAGUUUGAAAGAUGCAAUUGCAUCACUCAAAGAUGAUCCCGCGUUGUAUUAGCUAGUUGGUGAGGUAAAGGCUCACCAAGGCGAUGAUACAUAGCCGACCUGAGAGGGUGAUCGGCCACAUUGGGACUGAGACACGGCCCAAACUCCUACGGGAGGCAGCAGGAGGGAAUCUUCGGCAAUGGACGAAAGUCUGACCGAGCAACGCCGCGUGAGUGAAGAAGGUUUUCGGAUCGUAAAGCUCUGUUGGUAGAGAAGAACGUUGGUGAGAGUGGAAAGCUCAUCAAGUGACGGUAACUACACAGAAAGGGACGGCUAACUACGUG